UGCUUCAUGACUCAUCAUAUAAAGCAAAUCCUGCCCAGUGAGUAUUCUUCAACGGCCGCGGUAUCCUGACCGUGCAAAGGUAGCAUAAUAACUUGCCUAUUAAUUGUAGGCUUGAAUGAACGGACUAACGAAAUAAAUACUGUCUCUAUAAAUAAAAUAUAAACUUAUAUUUAAGUGAAGAAGCUUAAAUUAUUUUAAAGGACAAGAAGACCCUAUAGAGCUUUAAUUUAUAAAUUAACUUAAUUUUACAUUUAGAUUGGGGCAAUUAUGGUAAAAUUAACCAUUUAUAUAUAAGAUAAAUCAAUCAAUACAAUGAUCUCAAAUUGAAUUACCAAAUCAAGCUACCUUAGGGAUAACAGGCUAAUCUUAUUAUAGAGCUCUUAUCAACAAUAAGGAUUGGCACCUCGAUGUUGGCUUAGAAUAUCUUUAUGAUGCAGCAAUCAUAAAAAGAAAGUUUGUUCAACUUAUAAUAUUC
This 475-nucleotide ribosomal RNA is filed under the name Buchholzia appendiculata. RNAcentral's name for it is "partial 16S ribosomal RNA". It matches the Rfam family "Bacterial large subunit ribosomal RNA", at positions 1829 to 2596 of the family's 2925-position model. Lineage: Eukaryota; Metazoa; Annelida; Clitellata; Enchytraeida; Enchytraeidae. The record is from RNAcentral.